This 590-nucleotide ribosomal RNA is filed under the name uncultured Microbacterium sp. RNAcentral describes it as "bacterial SSU rRNA". It matches the Rfam family "Bacterial small subunit ribosomal RNA", at positions 241 to 841 of the family's 1533-position model. Lineage: Bacteria; Bacillati; Actinomycetota; Actinomycetes; Micrococcales; Microbacteriaceae. The record is from RNAcentral.
UUCACUUGUUGGUGAGGUAAUGGCUCACCAAGGCGUCGACGGGUAGCCGGCCUGAGAGGGUGACCAGCCACACUGGGACUGAGACACGGCCCAGACUCCUACGGGAGGCAGCAGUGGGGAAUAUUGCACAAUGGGCGCAAGCCUGAUGCAGCAACGCCGCGUGAGGGAUGACGGCCUUCGGGUUGUAAACCUCUUUUAGCAGGGAAGAAGCGAAAGUGACGGUACCUGCAGAAAAAGCACCGGCUAACUACGUGCCAGCAGCCGCGGUAAUACGUAGGGUGCAAGCGUUAUCCGGAAUUAUUGGGCGUAAAGAGCUCGUAGGCGGUUUGUCGCGUCUGCUGUGAAAUCUGGGGGCUCAACCCCCAGCCUGCAGUGGGUACGGGCAGACUAGAGUGCGGUAGGGGAGAUUGGAAUUCCUGGUGUAGCGGUGGAAUGCGCAGAUAUCAGGAGGAACACCGAUGGCGAAGGCAGAUCUCUGGGCCGUAACUGACGCUGAGGAGCGAAAGGGUGGGGAGCAAACAGGCUUAGAUACCCUGGUAGUCCACCCCGUAAACGUUGGGAACUAGUUGUGGGGUCCAUUCCACGGAUUC